GUUUAUAGAGGCAAUGUUUGACUGCAAGAUGUGUUCAGAGUUCAGCGCUGGGUCAGCUAGAUGGAGAACUACGGCAGAAUCCACAAUUUGCAGAAAAGCACUUAAAAGAGCAGUUGCUGGAGAGGUGGAAGUUGGAGACACUUUUGGAAGUUAUGAAGCUGUGCCCUUCCGUAUCUCCCCAUAUGCACGAGUGCUACCAGAGGAAUGUGCCUGGCACUGAAGGACAGGUGACAUGUCACAGCUGAGAGAAGGCUGACAACUUUAAAGAAAAAACAAACAAAAUGCCAACAAGACAGAAAAGCCAGCACUCUGCCAAAGCUGGCUGUAGGAAAGGAUGACAAUCAUCCAGAAGCAGAGAUGAAAGUCCCAAAACAAGAGAACGCUGGGGAAAAAGCAAACAUAUGAACAGAAAAUGCAAGAGUGACCAAGGACCAAGUAGUACUGUUCUGAAUAAGAGAACCCAAGAUGAGAAGAGGGUGUAAAAUCCUCCUGCUUCUCAACUGCAAUCUCCUGAACCCUACCUUUGUAGGUAGACUCUGUGUAUUUGAUACAGGUGACAAGUGUGGUAGGUCUAAUGGAUUCAGUACUUGAAACUGAAGCAAUUAAUAGCAGUGGGGAUUUGUUAAGUCUAAGUAAUAUUAAUGUUUCUAAACUAAGCUGAUAGUGAGAAUGCUACAGAUUGUUAUAGUUCAUUGGAGCGUCAUGUCACUUUGACUAACAGUUGCAGUUUUCAAAGGGACUGAAUAUCUCAUUUUGUAAAGCUAUACCUGCGUGUUUUUUUUAGCAGUAAGGCAUCACAUUAGUUGUACUGCACUGCAAUACAGUAUGUACUGUAGAACAAGUCAGGGAUAUUUUCAUAAAGUACUUAUGUACAGCCCUAACUUCUGAGCAAUAAAAAAUGGAAUUUUCCAUUUCCCAGUAAGUCUGUCAAGUUUCUUUGUAAGUAAAUCAUACCAUUUGCACUGCAAACAAA
This is a long non-coding RNA of Dromaius novaehollandiae (emu), 973 nucleotides long. RefSeq lists it as uncharacterized. The record is from RefSeq and is a predicted model, not a curated record. Lineage: Eukaryota; Metazoa; Chordata; Aves; Casuariiformes; Dromaiidae. The transcript has 5 exons.